AGUGACGGGGAUGCGUUUAAAGGCAGCAUCGAUCAGCCAUUUUACUUUGAUGUGUUCAAGUGCGCCUCAUUGUGGGAAAGUCGCUAGUUUAAAUGCUACAAGUGGCUAAUCUUGGUUUGUGUAUUUUAGUGCCUGUGAGACUCCUGUUUUCCCAUGUAAUGUUAUAAUGUGCUACAAUUAAUGUUAUAGUUAAGUCUGAUGUUAAAGAACCUUUGAGUUUUAAGGGUCACUCCGGGAGUGGGAAGCCGUGUAGUAAAAGUGCAAAGCUAAACCAAUCUAAACCUUGGAAAUGAGUUUUAACGAUAUGAAUGUUCAUAUUAGUAAUAUCGCCUGAAAUGUCACAAUUCUGUCAGAAGUAAAACAGUGUUAUGUGCUUGUUUUUCUGCAUGAUAGCGAAGUGGGAUGAAAGCGGGCUCGUGUCGAUGCAGUGAGACCUUCACCUGCCACCCAAGUGCCACCUGGAAAUAAAGCCAAACGCAGGACAAGCAAGCAGGCUGACAAACCGAAGUUGCCCGCCACAGCCACAAGAGGGCGCUUCAGAUGGAGGCGACCUACAGGUCUGAGCUCCACCUGAUGGGGAGCAGAGCGACGACCCGGCUGAAGCGACUCGGAGUCACAGCUUGCGAAUCACCGGCAGAGGACUGCGAGUAGACACCGGAAAUGUACCGGAAAACGUUUCGGUUUCCACAUUUGUGGCAAAUGAUCAAUAUUGUCACUGAUGUUCUUUCUGAUAUGAACGGUCAUCAAAAUUCUUUCCAAUUAAUUUUGUAGUAAUUGUUGCACCUCUAAUCUUCUGCAUGUCUUAUUUUCAUUGUUGCAGUGAUCAAAAGUACUUCUCACUCAGCACAGAUUCUACUUUACUUUGACUUAACACAGUAAAAUGUAGAAAAACCUCUGAGGAGCUUUUUCACUGUGGACAUGCUGCCCUCUUGUGGCGCUGAAGGAAAUUGCACGUAGUUAAUGGCCUCACAUCUCACCUACAGUAAAAACAGCUAUGUUUAUCCAUUAAUUAUUAGAGCAUGGACCAAACUGACAUUUGGUAUUAGCCUCAGGUUUGUUAAGAGAGCUCAAAAACAUCCCCUUAAGCUUUGUGAAAAUUCACUGAAGUUGAGCAAUCAGUGCAUCUCCAAAAUUACAAAAUAGUCUCUUGGUACCAUACUCACACAAAGUUGGCCAUUUUGAAUUGUGGUGGUUUUUUAAUCGUAAUGCACACAAAUGUUUACAGAAGCAGUUGUUUUGUUAAACCAAUGUGCAUCAGUAUGAAUAGAAGGCGUUUUUUUUUUAGUUUUUUUUCUGUUUUGUAUUUUGUAUUAUUAACUUUUUGUACUAUCAUUUAGAUGUUUGUGUACAGGAAUAAUUAAGUUUUGCUCACGUUAACAGUUACACAAGUCUAGAGUGUGAUUUCACUGAUUCGUCUACAUCCUGCAUCGUCAGAAGUAAUUUACAGUGUGCUGUCAUUCUGUUGCUGCUGUCAUUGUAAUACUUUUAUUUACAUCUGACCCAUAAGUGUGGCUUGUGUUUAGGUUAUUAUGCUGCUUAUAAAUGUAGUGAAGUAAAGGGUAACAAUGGUUAAAAAAAACGAUCAAUCAUAGUGGAGUGGAAGUGUGAAGAAACUCGUUAGAGCUUAAUUUAAACGCAGCAAAAUACAAACUCUCCACAAGACGGCGCCAUUUCACACCUCACGGCCCAUCCCGCCUUAUAUUUCUUCCUAACGUGCUAUGAGUUUAGUAAAGCUAACCUUGAUGUUUCACAAUAUAGCUUCCUGAAUACGCCGAAAAUGAGUCAGGUCACAAUUUAGGUUCCUUCGUGAGUUAUUGUACAUUUUUAGAUUAAGUUUAAAUGUAACUUGCUCGCAGGUGUAUGGUAGUGUUUUUUUUCACGUUGAACUGUUUUUUAAUGCAAAUUUUACUGCAAAACUUAAAAAAUACGUGUCGCACCUGUUCCCGUGUACAAAAUGCUUCAAACAGGGAUUGGACUGCGCAUUUGCUUUUGUUUUGAAACGGCGGAAGUACUUCCUCUAACUGUAACACACAGUUUGACAGGGUCACGCUGCAAAUCCAGCCGGAUGUUUUGAGUCGCCAAUGUGUGAUGGGAACAUUUCCUCGUUUUGUUUGUUUGUUUGUUUGUUUUAAAUAAAAACUUCUCCAGCGGCGGCCAUUGAUCAGCGAAGUGGGAUGAAAGCGGGCUCGUGUCGAUGCAGCGAGACCUUCACCUGCCACCUGGAAAUAAAGCCAAACGCAGGACAAGCAAGGAGGCUGACAAACCGAAGUUGCCCGCCACAGCCACAAGAGGGCGCUUCAGAUGGAGGCGACCUACAGGUCUGAUCUCCACCUGAUGGGGAGCAGAGCGACGACCCGGCUGAAGCGACUCGGAGUCACAGCUUGCGAAUCACCGGCAGAGGACUGCGAGUAGACACCGGAAAUGCACAGGAAAACGUUUCGGUUUCCAC
Molecule: long non-coding RNA, 2449 nt
Organism: Scatophagus argus
Lineage: Eukaryota; Metazoa; Chordata; Actinopteri; Scatophagidae
Exons: 4
Source: RefSeq, a predicted model, not a curated record